Arvicola amphibius (Eurasian water vole) is the source of this 1492-nucleotide long non-coding RNA. RefSeq lists it as uncharacterized. NCBI's taxonomy places the organism in Eukaryota, Metazoa, Chordata, Mammalia, Rodentia, Cricetidae. The record is from RefSeq and is a predicted model, not a curated record. The transcript has 2 exons.
GGCAGGAAGGGGCCGGUGCUGGGGGACCCGUCGGGUGGGGCUGUUACCUUUCCACACGGCCCGUUGGUGCAGUGCACACGGACCGCCAGCGUAUUUAACAGGCGGUCCAGUUGCUGUCUAUCCAGAGCGCCCUGGCCGGAGAUGAGCAGGCUUAGCAGGCUAUCGGGCUGGACCGCUGGUGCCGUGACCAGCAGCAUGGCCAACAGGAGCCCCUGUGUGAGCCGGGCUGGGAACACCAUGCCUCAGGCCCCCAAAGUGCUCCUUGUUGUGGUGCUGUGUGAAGACCGCUGGCGUCUGAGCUGGUUGUAGACGGCUGGGGCUGCCUGAGACCAGACUGGGGCUGGGCUCAACUUGCCCUAGCACCAGGACCUCUCCCAGAGGAACUAUGCUUGGGAUCUGGGAGAGCCGGGGUGAAGACAAUGAAGAGAAUAUUCCCAUAUGUAGCUCUGAAGAUGUCAUAUAACCAUACCGGCUUUUCAACAGAAAAGCUGGGGGCUGAGCCUGGGCUGGUCUCCUUCCCCUGCAGACUGGCUGUCCACUGUUCAAGCACCGUCAGCCUCUAGGGAGAAAUCUUAGUGUAGGCUUGGCAGUCCAGGCUUCCCUAGGUUUCUCCUUCAAAGGGGAGAAUUGCCUGAAUCCUGGAAGGCCAGUACAGCCAAGCCUCAUGCACCCGAGUCAUUGUUAUCCAUGUGUCCCGUCCAUCCAUCUGUCCACCCGUGUCCCUCCCCCUGCCACCGUGGCAUGGCUGAGGUUUUUAUUACACAGGAAUCCUACUCGCCUGUAACAGCUCUCUUAGCAACGUGGGAAUCAGAAGUGGAAAGCCAAGCCUCCUCACCAUCACCAGUCAUACAACUUUUAAGCUGACUAUACCUGUGUGUGUGUGUGUGUGUGUGUGUGUGUGUGUGUGUGUGUGUCGGCAGCUCAAAUUCAGCUGCUGUAUGUGCGCAUUCAGCUACAGUUUAGAAAAGUGCUUUAAACAGCCAUAGUGGUCUCUUAAUCCUAAUGAGCUCUGUUCAUUGUAUUUCCUUCUAAGCUAAGGAAGCAAUAAGUCUCAAAUGUUUUACAUUGGUAUGUACUUUCAAAUGAUAAAUAUGUGGUUAGAUCUGUUACAACAUACUGUCUAUGUGGUUGAACUCUGCUUUAAAAUAUAUUCUCUAUAAUGACAAAAAUUUAAGGCUAUGAAGACCUACUUCAGAUGAACAAGAGCUAACCGACAGCCUUUCCUGUAAGCUGUUCUUCACUAUUGUCUGUUUUACUGCUAAGCUUCUAUUGCAAGAACUUUUUUCUUCUCUGUCCUUCACAAGUAAAAAUCUGGGGCUGGAGAGAUAGCUCAGAGGUUAAGAGAACUGACUGCUGUUCCGGAGGUCCUGAGUUCAAUUCCCAGCAACCACAUGAUGACUCACACCCAUCUAUAAUGAGACCUGGUGCCCAGAACACUAUAUACAUAUUAAAAAAAAACAAGUAAAAAUCUGACCUGCUAAGUUAAAAUCAG